Molecule: ribosomal RNA, 567 nt
Filed under: uncultured archaeon
Lineage: Archaea
Description: bacterial SSU rRNA
Rfam family: Archaeal small subunit ribosomal RNA
Source: RNAcentral
CGCGAUUCGCCCUUCGGGGCGCACCAGGCGCGAAAACUCUACAAUGCAGGCAACUGCGAUAGGGGAACAUCGAGUGAUCCUCAUAUUGGGGGUCUGUCCCACUGUCUAAAAAACGGUGGUUAGCAAGGGCCGGGCAAGACCGGUGCCAGCCGCCGCGGUAAUACCGGCGGCUCGAGUGGUGGCCGAUAUUAUUGAGUCUAAAGGGUCCGUAGCCGGCUUUGCAAGUCUCUCGGGAAAUCCAGCGGCUUAACCGUUGGUCGUCCGGGGGGUACUACAUUGCUUGGGACUGGGAGAGGUAGGAGGUACUCAGGGGGUAGGAGUGAAAUCCUGUAAUCCUCUGGGGACCACCGGUGGCGAAGGCGUCCUACCAGAACAGGUCCGACGGUGAGGGACGAAAGCUAGGGGCACGAACCGGAUUAGAUACCCGGGUAGUCCUAGCCGUAAACGAUGCUCGCUAGGUGUCACAACAGUCGUGAACUGUUGUGGUGCCGUAGGGAAGCCGUGAAGCGAGCCACUUGGGAAGUACGACCGCAAGGUUGAAACUUAAAGGAAUUGGCGGGGGAGCAC